This is a ribosomal RNA of 432 nucleotides. The stretch from base 1 to 124 matches the Rfam family "5.8S ribosomal RNA", at positions 30 to 154 of the family's 154-position model.
GCAUCGAUGAAGAACGCAGCGAAAUGCGAUACGUAGUGUGAAUUGCAGAAUUCCGCGAAUCAUCGAGUCUUUGAACGCAAGUUGCGCCCGAGGCUUGUCCGAGGGCAUUUCCGCUAGAGCGUCACCGCGCCCCCCCACCGAUCCACUCUCGCCGCGAGGCGCCAGUCGGGUCGAGUGCAAGUGGCCGUCCCGGUGGAGCGGGCCUCCUUUCGCGAGGAGGCCUGACUUGGAAGGGUCGGCUGAAAUGGAUGGAAUCGGGCCGCCGUGGUGACACAGUCCGCGAUCGGGUGAUUUCGUCGCGAGGCUCCUUCGGGAGGUUCUCGGCGAAUUUUUUCUAAGUGCUUGGCUGCGUCCCCCAGUUGGCUCGGGUUACCUCAUGCAGGUCGAGCGCGCCCCCGCGGCGCGCGUCACGCAUCAGACCUCUAAUCGGAA